Molecule: ribosomal RNA, 497 nt
Filed under: uncultured bacterium
Lineage: Bacteria
Description: partial 16S ribosomal RNA
Rfam family: Bacterial small subunit ribosomal RNA
Source: RNAcentral
GAUGAACGCUGGCGGCGUGCCUAAUACAUGCAAGUCGAGCGAACGGACGAGAAGCUUGCUUUUCUGAUGUUAGCGGCGGACGGGUGAGUAACACGUGGAUAACCUACCUAUAAGACUGGGAUAACUUCGGGAAACCGGAGCUAAUACCGGAUAAUAUUUUGAACCGCAUGGUUCAAAAGUUAAAGACGGUCUUGCUGUCACUUAUAGAUGGAUCCGCGCUGCAUUAGCUAGUUGGUAAGGUAACGGCUUACCAAGGCAACGAUGCGUAGCCGACCUGAGAGGGUGAUCGGCCACACUGGAACUGAGACACGGUCCAGACUCCUACGGGAGGCAGCAGUAGGGAAUCUUCCGCAAUGGGCGAAAGCCUGACGGGGCAACGCCGCGUGAGUGAUGAAGGUCUUCGGAUCGUAAAACUCUGUUAUUAGGGAAGAACAGAUGUGGAAGUAACUGUGCACGUCUUGACGGUACCUAAUCAGAAAGCAACGGCUAACUACGUG